This 253-nucleotide ribosomal RNA is filed under the name uncultured Aquicella sp. Its description in RNAcentral is "partial 16S ribosomal RNA". It matches the Rfam family "Bacterial small subunit ribosomal RNA", at positions 524 to 776 of the family's 1533-position model. The record is from RNAcentral. Lineage: Bacteria; Pseudomonadati; Pseudomonadota; Gammaproteobacteria; Legionellales; Coxiellaceae.
UACAGAGGGUGCGAGCGUUAAUCGGAGUUACUGGGCGUAAAGGGCGCGUAGGCGGUUAUAUGGGUGUGAUGUGAAAGCCCUGGGCUUAACCUGGGAAGUGCAUCGCAAACUAUAUGGCUAGAGUACAAGAGAGGGUGGCGGAAUUUCCGGUGUAGCGGUGAAAUGCGUAGAGAUCGGAAGGAACGUCAAUGGCGAAGGCAGCCACCUGGCUUGAUACUGACGCUGAAGCGCGAAAGCGUGGGGAGCGAACAGG